Molecule: transfer RNA, 76 nt
Filed under: Bacillota bacterium
Lineage: Bacteria; Bacillati; Bacillota
Also listed under: 2 other names
Description: Firmicutes bacterium (anaerobic digester metagenome) tRNA-Met
Rfam family: tRNA
About the family: Transfer RNA (tRNA) molecules are approximately 80 nucleotides in length. Their secondary structure includes four short double-helical elements and three loops (D, anti-codon, and T loops).
Source: RNAcentral
CGCGGGGUGGAGCAGCUGGUAGCUCGUCGGGCUCAUAACCCGGAGGUCGCUGGUUCAAAUCCAGCCCCCGCCACCA